CGUUGGCCACGCCUCCCGGCCGGGCAGCAACACUAAAGCCUCUCCCAACCCGCGAGGCCCUCCCAGAUUCCGCCUCCCUACUUGUACGCUCCGCCCCCGAGAUGCCCCUGUCGCCGCCUGAUUGCACUGUGGCCUGGCCGCGGUAGACCGGGCGGAGCGCUGGGUGCAGAACCGUGUGGAGGCUGGAAAUCGUGGGUGCCCCUCGUCCGGACCAUGUCUGGCUGCCACGGUCCGGAGGGAGACUGCUGCUCACGGCAAUGCGUCGCGCAGGUAGGGGCGGGGCCGCCGGCGCCGCUCUUCCUAGGCGGCAGGGCGCUGGCGCGGGGUCGCGAGCCGCAGGGUCGUGGGCGGGGCUUCCGCGGGUGCGAGCGCGGCCCUGCGGCCUGGCUGCGCUCUUGACUGCGGGAGCUGGGCCGCAGACUGAAAAAGGAAGAGUGACAGUGAGGAGCGCAUUUGGGCCACUGUCGCAUGCAUAUCGGGAUGACAGACCGAAGGAGUCUUGAGGCACUGGAGUGGAACUGGAGCGAAAGCGGAGCUCCUCGAGCUUCUUUUCUGCGCCUGGCGACCAGCUCCACGAUGCUGAACUGCAGCUGGGCCUCCGGAGCCUGCACCCUUUAGUAGAGUUGCUCCUUACUCACUGUUUAGAUGAAUAACGGGGUGAUUCUGCCUAACGAUUCUUCCUUGAGCAGAAGUCAGGCUGCAGGUUUAUCAUUCACUUAUACACAACCAACAAUCUUACUGGAAGCCUUAAUGAACGCCUCUGAGUGUCCAGAGAGUGGUGAACAUGACAGAUGGCCCGGAGUCUAGAGGAGAACUAGACCAAUUAACAAAUUCAGUAUAAUGCAUAAGAGGCAGGAAAAGCCCCCUAAGCUUAGUUCUCUGAUCAAAGGGCUGAAGGUCUCACUGGGAAGAUUUUAUUACUAAGCAUUUGUAAACCGUUAUGUUGUUUUGAGUAAGUGACUUCUCCCAAAUUAGCAAACACGACAGGUUAGAAUGCUGGAUAGACAUGAUUGUAUGAGGAAGAUGAUGAUCUUGGAUACAGGACAGAUCACUGGAGAUCAUUUUGAGACAGAUGGGUUUGGAGAAUAAGGAAAGUGAAAGCAGUCCAUUAGAAGAAACAUUGCUAAGACAUUUUAGCACAUGUGUACAUGCCCCCAGUAAUUAGAUCUUUGGCAGUGUCUAAGAGAGCAGCAUGUCUAAGCUUCAAAGAGCCUAAAACAAGAAAACUAAGAAUAAACUAAUAUUCUUAAACCAAAAAUGGCCACAGGACAACAUGUAGAACAGGCAUCUUUUAUUUGCUUCAGUCAGUGGUCAUGAAAAAUGUGAGCUACUUUUUCAGAGUCCAGAACAAUCUUGGCUUCUAUUGAAAUUUAAGAGCAUUUGGUGUGACUGGACCCUUAUUUCUUCAUGGGGUCUGGAUUGAACUGACAAAUAGUUACUUAUUUAACCCAAGGCAUGUGCUUCCACUCCUCAAACUAGAUUUGCAUGUAUAUUUAAAUACAUUAACCCCACUAAACAUUUUUGUUUACCUUGUGUUACAAAAAUAAAUGAGAACAGCAAUAAGAAAAGCUUUGAGGCAUAAAAUUUCAAUGCAGUUUUAGAGGGUGCAACCGAAAGAGUUUAUCCUUAAGGAAGAGGAGUGUUCAAUUGUGAUUGUUUGAGCAAAUAUUGAAGAGGGCCUACUAUGUGCCAGACACUGUGAAUUUAACAUAAUGCAAGUUACUUCUAAUUUCUUCCCCCAUAGAGAGUGCUGUGUAGUGGGAGAAACAGUAAAGAGACAGUAUGACAAUAUAAUAGCACCACUAUGGGAAAGUUCGGGGUGCAGUAGGGUUUGAAAAUGCCUCUGGAGGAAAUAAAGGAAUCAACUGAAGCCUAAAGGAUCAGGAAGACCACAGUAAGAAAUGAAGCUGAGUUUUCUAAUUUCAGGCUUACCCUGGAGAUAUUUCAGGUUACAUCACAAUAAAGUCACACAAAAGCUGUAGUUUCCUAGUGCAUAUAAAAGUUAUGUUUACACUAUAGUCUAUUAAGUGUACAAUAGCAUUAUGUCUAGAAAAUAAACACAAUUUUAAAAUAUUUAUUGCUAAAAAAUGGUUAUGAUGAUCUGAACUAUUGGAAAUAAUGAUACUACUGAUAGGUUUACAAAGCUCAGGGUUGCCACAAACCCUCAAUUCAUAAAAAAUGCAGUAUCCAAAGUACAAUGACAUAAAGCACAGUAAAGGUAAGCCUGUAGAAAGAGUAGCAUGCACAGAGUCUUAGAAAAAAGGGCAUUGUGUGUUCUCAUAUCAAAAGAAUCUUGGUGUUAUGGGAACAAAGUAGGGGACAGGGACUUGGGAAAAUGAUGAAGCUAAAAAGAUGAAUACUAGGACCCAAACUAGAGGGCUCUUUAAGCCAUCUUAGGAAUACAGAUUUUUAUUUUAAGGGCAAUGAGAUAAUAAGAAAGAUGGCUGAAGGAAGCGUAUGGGGUGACAGGCUGUGGUUGUAGCUCAGUGGUUGAGCGCUUGCCUCGCAUGGGUAAGGCACUGGGUUUGAUCCUCAGCACCACAUAAAAAAAAAAUAAAUAAAACAAAGAUAUUUUUAAAAAAAGAAAGAAAGAAAAUGUAUGGGGUGCUGACUGGAUUGGAAUCUGGAGGCUUAGAUACAAACCAGGAAGCUGUAGCAGUAACCCAGGCAAGAAAUGCCAGUGCCCUCAGUGAGGGAUUUAGGUGGUAAAGUCUAGAGGACGUGAUGUUGAUUCGAUGGGGAUGGUGAAAAAAGGUGCCAGGAAUGACUUAGGUUUCUGAGGGAGUGAUUGGGACCUGGUGAACUCUCAGAAAGAACACGGGAGGAAGAAACAGUUGAUGAUAAGCCCAUCAUAGACAUAACAAAUAUGAGGUCCCUGGUUGGAGUGAGAUAUUAAAAGCUGGGUAUUUGUGGCUCUCAAGCUCAAGAAAGAGAGCUGGAUUAGAGAUGAAGUUUUGGAAAACUUGGUCACCAAAGCCUUCCCUCUUGAAUUAAUUGAUCUUUAUUUGAUGGACACCCUCUCCCUAAACCCCUAUUAGAUUAAUUGCCUUCCUCUGUAGGCUUUUCAAUAAUAUUAUUUUAUCAUGCUUGCCUGUAACUUUUAAGUUGUUUGUUUCAUGGGCUAGUAUUGCAAAGAUUUCUCAGGCACUGAGUAUAUUAUUUUCAGGAUAGAUUCAGCUUAUUAUACAAGUAAUGUCUAGGCUGAUUUUACAGUCCAAAAAUUCAAUCCCAAAUGACCUCUGAUACUUGGACUAAAUUUUUCUAGUAUCAAAAAGUCAAGGGGGUUGGGCUGGGGUUGUAGCUCAGUGGUAGAGUGUUUGUUUGCCUGUGUUAGAUCCUCAGCACUACAUAAAAAUAAAUUUAAAAAAAUGUUGUGUCCAUCUACGACUAAAAAAUAAAAAUUAAAAAAAAAAAGUCAAGGGGUAUUUCCCUAUGAGAGAAAGUGUUUACUUAGAAACUGUGUAUUAACAAAGUCCAGAUUCUAAAAGUACUAACAUGAAUAAAUCACUAUUCUCUGUUCUUGGGAAAUUAAGGCAGUUAUAAAUGCAUACCAGUAACUAAUAUACUAUAUAACAGAAUUGGGCAGUGGAAGGAAGAGGAGAAGACUAAAUUCUUAAGGAAUUUUUGCAAAUGCAGAAAGAGGAAAGAUAAUUGGAAACAGCAAUUCAUGUAAGGCUUUAUGGAGAAUUUUGGAUGGGCUCAUGGUUCUAGAGGGACACCAAAAAGAAGUUCCUUAGGGUGACCAUAUGCCCUAUUUUAAGAGUUCACAAUACAUAACUCUGACGUUUUUUUUGCUGGGGGAAAAAAUCUGUUGUUUUUUUUGUUUUUUUAGGGAAACCAGAAACUGGGAUUUUGUAUGAAAUCAAUAAUUUUCAAAAUUUUAAAAUGUCAACUCAGAUUCUAAGCAUUAUACAGACCAAAUUAAUUACUUCCUGGAAGUCUGAUGAAAUCCACAAGUCAAUUUGUGACUUCUAUAAUAUAUUCUUGAAUGUAAGAUAUAUGAUCUUAAUUCAUCCAGUAUUUAUUAAGCCAAGCACUGCGGUAGGAGUAACUUAGAAAGAGCAUGUUGCCUACCCUUUAGUGAGCUGGGCACAGUUGGGGAGAAAAAACAGGUAGGCACUGUUUUUACUUUUUUUGGAGGGGAGUUACCAGGGAUUGAACUCAGGGGCACUUGACCACUGAGCUACAUCACCAGCCCUAUUUUGUAUUUUAUUUAGAGACAGGGUCUCACUAAGUUGCUUAGCAGCCUCACUUUUGCUGAGACUGGCUUUGAACUCACGAUCCUCCUGUCUCAGCCUCCCCAGCUGCUGGGAUUGCAGUCGUGCGUCACUCUGGUUUGUUUCUACUUUUUUUGUUGUUAUUUGUUUAUGUGUCAUAGUGUUUCUGAACAAAUAUUUGUUCUUUGAUAUUUCUACAAAACAAGGCUAUUUGUUUUCCUUGACCUCAACAGUUCCGUGGAAGCAACCCAGUCUCAUGAUCAUAAACUCCCUGCCCAACUACUACCCCUUCACUACACAGAUAUUUGGGGUGAAGGAAUUUUUCGUUCUGUGGUCCCUUCUGUGUGCCCUGUAUCAGAGGAUCCUCCACAUUCUAUCAUAAAUAGGUACCUUUAUGGAAGCCCCCCCCCCACUAGGUCUGCUGAGAAUGUUCCCAGGGAAGGGAUGGAAUCACUCACUGUACGAGAUGAUGUCUCUACAAAUAUCACGGGGUCUUACCACAGCUAGCCCACCUUCUUUGUUCCUUCACUAGCCCCUGAACAUUCCUGAGGAAUAUUCCUCAACUGUGCUGUGUGGACUCACUUCAGACUCAUGGUUUCAACCUCAUACUUCCAGCAAUGCUCCUGUGUCCUACAGUAGUGCCCACUCCCUAGUACCCUCUCCCCAGAGGACUGUUUUAUACCUUUAUUCUCUUGUUAUGCCUCUCAGACCAUCCCCACACUCUCAGCUGAUGACUGCAUUGAUACUUAAGAAAACAAAAGUCACUAGAUGUGAACUUCCUCACCUUCCCACCAUAAAACCUACAGAUAUGCCUGAAAAUGAACCCAGCUUCCUUUCAUUUCAUAAAAUGGAAGCAGCCCAGUUCUUCCACCAGUCUCAGGUCUCCAGGCCUUUCACCUUCUGAAGUUAUUUCUCUCCCUCUCCCUGUCUUACCAUCAAUCAUUUCCUCCCUGGGAGGACUGUGCUCAUCAGCAGGGCUUUCAGAUCCCUACAUGAUCUGGUCCCUGCGGUCAUUUUCCACCACUUUUAGCACUUUAUCACCCUGCCCUAGCCAGCUGGUCUUCCUCGUGCCAAGGGUUUUCUCACUCCGGACCUUCACAUCUGUCCUUUCCUCUGCCUGGAGUCACCUGCCUCUCCCCAGCACAAAACUACCUGUGCACACACACGAGUUUUUCACACACCAGUUUAAGAUUAAGUGCCACUUGUUUAAGCCUUACCAACCUGAUUAAAGUUGAUCCCUGCUAUUUUUCUCCAAGUCCCUAUUUGUUUCUUACCACUUAUUACAAUUUAUUUAUCCUUUCAUUUUACUCUUUUAAAACUCUAGCCUGGGGUGUAAAUUCUUUUAGGGAAAGACUGUCUUGUUUGUGGAUGAAUUUCCAGGGUCUAGAGAAGUGCUGUGCACAUAGUAAGCCCUUAGUAAAUGUUUAUGGCUGACAUCCCAGAGAACGGUAUUCCUCCCCACCCAGCUGCUCUGCCAGCCAGAAUGUGGAAGUGUUCUUCCCUUCAGUUUUCUCACCCAGAAUUCUUUCUUUCUGUUUAACUUUCCAAAUCCACUUCUGCCCUCACUACCUCACCAAUUCAUUUCCAAAUCUCAGCAGUCUCUUAAUGCUCUGGUCUUUAUCUUAACCACCCUUCAGCCUCUUCUGUUCACUGACACGAUAGAACAUUUCACGGACAAAAUCUGAUCAUCUUAGAUUUAAACUCCUCAGUGGUUUUGAGUUUUCUAUAAAAUAAAUCCCAAACUUCUGUGCACACCACGAAAGAUCCUUUAUAUGCUGCUUCCCUCCCACCUCCACCCCACCAAACCACCAAUUUGUAACCACUUCCAGCCACUGGGAGUUCUCUCCAAUUUAAGUGUCCUUUCUCUUUAAAUGACCAGUGUCCUCCACUGUGCUUCAAGACUGACUUUAGUCACAGUUCAUUUGUGAAACGUUUCCCAGUUCCUGUUCCCUUCUAUCAGUACCUUCUGAUCCCAUAGUGCCCUAGACUAUCUUGCUGAGGAGCUCAACCUAGUAAAGAAAUUGUUUUCAUUUUAUAGCAAUUUCUUUACUAGGUUGAGCUCCUCAGUGGUAAGGAUUUUUAUCUUAUAUUUGUUUCUUCAGGGCUUGUCACAGAACCUAGCACUCAGUAAGGGUGCAUUGAAUGUGAGUAUGUGAUAAACACACAAGAAAAGUGAAGAGAACAAAUGUCAAGGCACAGUAUUGGAGGAAGAGUGACCACUUCCCACUGGGAGAUGAGUGAAGGCAUCAUAAGUGAGCAGGGAGCCUGGUGUAAAGACUCUUAAGGAGGAGUUUGAUGGAGUCAUAGGAAUUAGAGAUUCAGCCUGAGCAGUUUAAGAGCCCAAAGAAAAUUUAAAAAUAUGUAUCCUUGGCUGGUAAGAAAUCAUGUCUUAGUUAUUUAUUGCUGCAUAGCAGAUGACCUUGUAGCUUGGUAACUGAAAUCACAAAACAGUGAUUGUGGCCCAUAAUUUGCAAGGAUUAGGAACCCAAGAGCAGCUGUGCUCACAUUCUGGCUCAGCAUCUCAUGAGAUGGCGAUUGGGCUGUCGGUGGGUUGACAGUCAACUCAGGGCUUGAUUACAGCCGUAGGAUCUGCUUCUAAGAUCACUCAAGCGAGUUUGGCAGGCCUUAGUUUCUCAUUGGCCAUUGGCCUUGAACCUCAGUUCCUUGCCAAAUGGCCAUCUUCCUGGGCUUUCUGAUUACUCUUAUGCUUCAGCAGCUGUCUUUCCCACAAAGCCAAUGAUCUGCAGAGAGAAAGAUCAAUCAAGAUAGAAGCUACACUCUUCCAUGACCUAAUCUCAGAACUGACAUACUGUUGCCUCUGCCAUAGUUUCUUGGUCACACAGAUCAACUUGGGUAGAAUGGAAUGGGGUCAUCAGGAGGUAGAGAACACGAGGAGCCAUUCUGUAGUUUGACUACUGCAACGAGCGUGACUAGAACUGAGAGAUUUGUAUAAAUACAGAAAGAACCUAGCAGACCAAGGAGCAUUUGAGCAUUAGAUGAUUUGAAGAAUGGAGUUCGUGAUCAGUAUAGUAUUAGUUUAUGAUUCAUAUUAGAGGAUAAGCUGGAAUAGAAGGAGGAAUUGUAGCAAGGAGACCAAAUAAAAGAUUACCUCCAUACUCCCAAAUGUCAGUCCCUAAGAGAGUUUUUACUACAACUAUAUAUAGCAAAGUAAUAAAAAUGAAGACAGUGAAACAUGAAUUUCACUAAAUUUAAUUGAAUGCAAUUUAAAAGACUAGUUUUUAUUCUGAGGUUAUCCUCCUAUUCUUUUUAUGUUAAAAAUGUGCUUCUUUUUUGAAGAAGGUGAUAGUGGAUAGUUAAAUGUAAUUCAUGUCAUAACCUGACAAUCUUAGGUCAUUUCCUAAAAUCAAAAGGAAAAAAAUAGAAAAGUAAAACUGCUGUUGAAAUUCACAAGUCUGGAAAUCACUGAUCCAGAUUAUUAAUAUGAGGAAACUGAUACCAGAAAGUGUCACUGACUUGCCUUAGGGCACACAGCUAGUGGUGUCAAAGCUGAAACCAGAUUCUUUGUCUUUAAUUUCUAUUCAACACUUAACUGAAAUGCAGAGGAAAGAGAAGAAUUUUUAGUGUGGCAAGAGGAAGAAGAGAGGGCUUCUGAGUGAAGGUGAUAUUGGAAAGCAAAGCAACAUGCACAGAGAGGAGAAUAGAAUAAAUGUGUAGAAAGACACAAAGACCAAGCACAGAGAGAAAAUCUUGACAACUACUGCACAAAUAUAUCAGUCCCUUCCUGAAGACAGUGUCAGAAAAAAUUGUGAAAACUUUGAAAUGAGUAAAAUAAAAUUACUAGGUGUUUUGGGAUUAUCUUUUAGCUAUUUUAUAAGUAUGUAAAUUACAGAAUACUGAUAUGACUUGUUUAUGACAAUAAACUGUGUUCAAUAAACAUUCGAUUUAUAGUUACCCUAUGGAUAUUGUCCAAUUGUGCCUUCUUUGUGAAUUCAGGAUUCUUGAUUCCUUUUUUUUGGAGAGGUAUAUUUGGGAUAAACCUGGGGGUGCUUUACCACUGAACUUCAUCCCCAGUAGUUUUUUUUUUUUGGUAUAUUUUGUUUUAUUUUAUUUUAUUUUUUUAAUUUUGAGAGUGAGUUUCCCAAAGGAGGACCUGAUCCUCCUGCCUCAGCCUCCUGAGCCACUGGGGUUAUAGGCAUGUGCCACUGCCCAGUUAAGAUUCCUGAUUACUCCUAUACAAGUAUACUGAAUUCUCCUUUGAAUGGUUCUAACAUCUUAUGGUUUCCUUAUUAAUUAAUAAGCUAAGUAUUAUUUUUUUAUGUCAUCAUCAUCAUCAUCAUUUUUGGUGCUGAAGAUUGAACCCAAGGCCUUGCACAUGCUAGACAUGCACUGUGCCACUGAACUAUACCUCCAUCCUGACAAAUCUAAAAUAAUUUGUCUGAGUCUCCCAGGAAAAUUAUCUUUGAAUAACAAGUGCCUGGAUUUAAUUUUUUUUCUUAUACCAUGAAUUGAACCUAGAGGCACUCAACCACUGAACCACAUCCUCAGCCCUUUCUUAUAUAUAUUUUUUACAGAUGGGAUCUCACUAAAUUGCUUAGGGUCUCGCUAAGUUGCUGAGGCUGACUUUGAACUUGAGAUCCUCCUGCCUCAGCCUCCUGAGCUGCUGGGAUAAGAGGUGUGUGCCACUGCACCAAACUGGAGCCUGAAUUUUCUUAAAUUGAAAGAAAAUAAUAAGUUGUUAAAAAUUUUUUAAAAAGGAGAAAUCGUUGGGAAUUAGAGCCAUUAUUGGCUAUGAAUAGGUAUCUCAGUAACAAGUCUGAUUUCCUUAAAAUAACUAGAUUAAUAAUUUGAAAAAAUAAAAUACUGAAUCAAAAAACAUUCUAGGCUUUAAUAUUUUUCAUAUAUACUAAAUACUGUUAAAUGUGUUUCUGUCUCAAAAUAGAACCUCUAUUUUAUUUUUUUCUUAUUUUUAUUGUUUUUUUAAAUAAAUGACAGCAGAAUACAUUACAAUUUUUAUUACACAUAGAGAGCACAGUUUUUCAUAUCUCUGGUUGUAUAUAAAGUAUGUUCACACCAAUUUGUGUCUUUAUACAUGUACUUUGGAUAAUGAUGUCCAUCACAUUCCACCAUCAUUGCUAACCCCCUGCCCCCUCACUUUCCCUCCCACCCCUCUGCUCUAUCUAGAGUUCGUCUAUUCCUCCCAUGCUCCCCCUCCCUACCCCACUAUGAGUCAGUCACCUUAUAUCAGAGAAACAUUUGGCAUUUGUUUUCUUUUGGGGAUUGGCUAACUUCACUUAGCAUUAUAUUCUCCAACUCCAUCCAUUUAUCUGCAAAUGCCAUGAUUUUAUUUUCUUUUAUUGCUGAGUAAUAUUCCAUUGUGUAUAUAUGCCACAUUUUUUUUUAUCAUUCAUCUACUGAAGGGCAUUUAGUUGGUUCCACAGCUUAGCUAUUGUGAAUUGUACUGCUGUAUACAUUGAUGUGGCUGUGUCUCUGUAGUAUGCUGUUUUUAAGUCCUUUGGGUAUAGACCGAGGAGAGGGACAGCUGGGUCAAAUGGUGGUUCCAGUCCCAAUUUUCCAAGGAAUCUCCAUACUGCUUUCCAUAUUAUUGGCUGCACCAAUUUGCAGUCCCACCAGCAAUAUAUGAGUGUGCCUUUUUUCCCACAUCCUCACCAACACUUAUUGUUGUAUUCUUAAUAGCUGCCAUUCUGAUUGGAGUGAGAUGAUAUCUUAGAGUAGUUUUGAUUUGCAUUUCUCUAAUUGCUAGAGAUGAUGAACAUUUUAAAUAGUUGAUUAUAAUGAAUAUUUAGAUACAUAUUUUAAAUUUAAUAAUUGAAUUGAAAUCCAGAUCUAACAACAGGAAAGUAAUACUAUUGACAUUCAAAAGAGAACUAGAUAUUAACUAAACCUUUCUUUCUUGUUAAUUCUUUUUAAAAUAUAUAUUCUGAUUUUUAGUAUCUUAUCUGGACAGUUUUCUAGGACUGCAUUUUUCACCAAAUGUAUCUCUGUCGGUGACUAUUAACUGAUCAUGUUGCUUUAAUUGAAAUUUUACAUGUCUGAAUGACUGUAUGAAAAUGCACUAACAGCAUCUGCCUGAUUCUUAUUCCUGUAAGCAUGAAGCUUACUAAUUGCUGUAAUACCUAAGUAUUGGAAAAGACAAAGAGAAGAGGGAGACCCAUAAUAACAGACCAUUUUCAAUAAUGUUUGCAAUUUGUUCUGCCAGUUUGCUUUUAAGGAUUGGAAAACUGCAGGAGUCUUCCUGUUAACUCUACUUUAAUAUGUAAUUAAAAUAUCAUUUAUGUUCCUAAAAAAAGAAAUAGUGACUUAUACAGGGCAUGGAUAAUUUUGGCUAGAUUUCUUAAGAACAGACAAGAAAUAUCUUUUAUUUUAAGUAAUAGUAAAAUUAAUUUUAAUUCAAGAAUUUUUAACUCUUUAAAACAGGAUUUAAAUCACACAUUGUGCCGGGUGCUUCAUAUGCGUUGCAUCUCUCACAGCAUGCUCAUUCUGUGAAUGAGUAAACUGAACCACAAAGUCACGUAAGCAGUGAGUGAUGUAAUGUGGAUUUGACUUAAUGCCUGCUAACUCAUGAGCCCGUUGCAUCAAAACUUUAAAAAAGUUUCUAGUUUCCCAUAUUCCUGAUAUUAUAUUUUGAAAGCUACUCCAUCAAUAUCAUUCAUAAUACUUUCCUAAAAUGAAAUGUGUAUAUAAAACAUUAGCAGGAAAUUGGGGGAAACACCAUAAUUGCAGGUAUCCAAUUAAGUAGCUGAGACUUUAGACCAUUAUGUAAUUGUUCUUCUUUUGACUCAAAGGUGUUUUUCUCCUUUACACAGGACCAAGAUCAGUAAAGGCAAGCUUGCUUGCCUGUGCUCUUCUGCAUAGUACGUCUGUUUCUUGUUUGCCCUUUCCUGAAGGGUACAGCCCCUUAGGUUCUCAAGCUUAUAUGGGGGAUUUUAAGCAAGCCUUAGGUUGUACGUCAUAUUUCUAAUGGUUUAUAUAGCCAUCUGAUUUGAAGCUCAGUGUCAUCAGGCUUUUUCAAAUACCUUCAGGAAAAAUUCUGGCUUUAGGCUCCCAGGUUUCUAAUCCAGAUAGUCUCACUCUCAUUUCUCUAUGGCCCCUCUGAAUCCUUACUUUCUUGACAGUGUGGCAACUUAUUUUGAAAUAUUUGUAAAAAUAAUUUACUUAGCAUUUUAGCUUGAUUUCAAGGUAAGGAUUGUAUAUCAUACUUCAUACUGCCAAAAAUUAAAUUCAUUGUAUUUCUAUUUAUUUUUGUUUUUAAUAAAUUGUUAAAAAUUUUUAAAAAGGAGAAAUCAUUGGUAUGUUUUUUUCUAAAGAAGUCAUUAUUGAACUUAUAGGUAAGGUUUGAUAUUUAUUUCAGCAUUUAUGCAUAUACUCAUAUAAACACAUAUCUUCAUAAAAAUGGGUUUAGCAGGUUUUGUAAUUGUUUCUGAGUGUUUUUAAUACUCUUUGCUUGAUUUAAUUUUCCAUAAUGAGUAUAUAUUACUUUAUAAUAAUAAUAAGAGAAACAUUAAAAUUAUUUUGGAAAAAAAGAGGAUAAUUUUUAAGUAAAAACAAAACUGAACAGUCUGUGUUGAACAUGUAGCUAUCAUGAUAUCUCAUAUAUAUCCUGCCUUAAUUGAACAAGGUUUUUUUGUAAUAAUGUGUUUAUAAAUAAAUUUUCUUGGCAGACAGAAGCAUGUUCCUUUAAGCACCAGAUUUUAUUUCUUUCAGUCAUUUCAUUGGACCUUGUAAUACAUACUGGGCAUCCUACCUUGUUCCUAAAGCCUGUUAGUGAUGAACUAUACGGCCCCAUACCGAAUACUCCCAGAUUGCCAAAUAAUAUAGUAAAUCUACUUCAUGAACAAAAUAUGUUUGUAAUAGUUUUCUUCCUCUCUGUCCUGUCUCUGUAGUAGAUUUUCUUAAGUUUCCUUAAAUGAGCUUCAUAUUAGAAAUACCAGCUGGAAUAGUUAUUUGAUAAAAUAAUGCCUACUUUAAAAAUUAUUAUUUUCUUUUUAAGGACAAUGAACAUCCAAGAUACCUGAUUCCAGAACUUUGCAAACAGUUUUACCAUUUGGGUUGGGUCACUGGAACUGGAGGAGGAAUUAGCUUGAAGCAUGGGUAAGUUUCUGGCUGGCUCAUCUCUGGGAAUUUUCCAUAUGAGUAGAACACAGGGAGCCUAAUGUGGUAUGUCCAAAGAACAGCUAAUGAUAAGUUCUAUGUGAUAGUGAAGGUAUUUCAUUUCUAAAUUAUCAAAUGGCUAUUUGCAUAACUAAAUGGAGCUGGUGUGCAGAAAUAGUUAUA
RNAcentral lists this long non-coding RNA (12470 nucleotides) under Marmota monax (woodchuck). The record is from RNAcentral. Lineage: Eukaryota; Metazoa; Chordata; Mammalia; Rodentia; Sciuridae.